CCCACUUAAACCCCAGCGGCAGUUUAACUUCAAACACCACCAGAUACAUGGCCGCAUGGUAGGCUGCAGCUGCACUAGCCCCCCUGUACUGCAUAGUGUCUCAGCGCUCCACGUGACAGCACACCGCAUAAUGUCCUAUGUGCCGACCUCACCACCUCAAUCUUAUGCAGCCGAGUGUGAACUCAUCUCCAUGAGGGCAGCCCAGACAGCCGAGUGACUGAUCCUGCAGUGCUGCUGACUGGUGAUCGGGAUGUCAGGUCCUGCUGGCUGCUACUGAUCACCGAGCCUCAGAUAGUGCUCCCAUAAAAGAAACAAUCAGACAAGAGAAAUCUCUGGGGAUCACAGAAAUCAUCCUUUUAUCUUCUCCAACCCCUAUAUUAAGACAGAUGAAACAACAGUGUGACUGUGUGGAAGACACCAUGCAGCGAGACCCGCACUCAAAUAUCAAUAGUAUAGUCUAAUUACACUACAAAGAACAAGGCAUUAACCUGUUGCAAGUCAUCUGGAAUUAUCUUUUAUUCUAAAGCCAGUUUGCAUGAAAAUGUUGCCAGUUGUAGCUUAGUUAAACAGCACUUGGAAAAUAUCACUAUCAUGAGCUCCCAAUGGCCAAGGAAUUCCUUCAGUGAUGCAGUCACCACUGCAAUCCAUAGUAUCCACCAGAAGAGAUGCGUAGAUUGUGUCUACCACGUCACAGCGGGAAGAAAAUCAAUUAUUCCAAUAAGCGAGAAUGUCAGCUCUAAUCACUGAGUGUCCAUGAAGACCUGACGACAACAAAUUUCAGCUAAUUGUAUUGAUAAACCUGAAAGAAUAAUCGAUAGACAAUAAACCUUUUAAAGACAUACUCGUCUAUCUCAAGACCCCUGCUGACCCCAGCAACACAUAUCCAUUAUCAGCAGCUAGUGAGAUGACAAAUGUGUGAUACAUCUUCCUGGAGAACAUUUCAUCCUGAACAGUGUGGAAUGCAGAGCCCCCACAAGUAACAUAACAUGGAUGCACCAGAAAUCAUACAUUGCUGGGAAGACUCUACUCACUGGAGCUUACACUCUAUAGAUAAGCAUAACAAAGUAAUGGAGAAUGCGGACAUCAAGCAGGCCACCUACAGAGAAAGAGCUGCUUUGCGAAAUGGAUGCAGGCAUUAUACAUAUUUCUCCCAAAGUACUGUUCUUGCAGUAAGUGGAUUACUAUGCUAGAAAGAGAAUUUUGAACCAGUUAGGAACUCAAUAAAACUAGCUGAUUCAGCUUCAACCGGGCAAAGGUUUGCUGUGUGGAACAAUGUAUUUGGGGUGACAGUGUACCUAUAGCGCUUCACUUGGGUAUAAGCUAGCCUUUCAAUACAUAGAUGGGGUACCCUACCCCACUUC
Molecule: long non-coding RNA, 1361 nt
Organism: Pseudophryne corroboree (corroboree frog)
Lineage: Eukaryota; Metazoa; Chordata; Amphibia; Anura; Myobatrachidae
Exons: 4
Source: RefSeq, a predicted model, not a curated record